Molecule: ribosomal RNA, 2070 nt
Filed under: Triticum aestivum (bread wheat)
Lineage: Eukaryota; Viridiplantae; Streptophyta; Magnoliopsida; Poales; Poaceae
Description: partial small subunit ribosomal RNA
Source: RNAcentral
AUGCAAUCCUCUAGGUGUGCCCUCAUAUAUAUGGCCCUGUUCCGAGUGUUCCUCUAUUUGAGCAACAUGAGAAUGUUGAAGGAUCAUCAACACUCUAUCUAUGUCCAGUAUGGCUACCCUCCUGGAGUUCAACACAACAGACUGACAGUAGCGAGCAUUCAGCAGCUCUGGAACGAGUGGGAGAUCCAGUGCUUGGUGCUUGUGAGCUUCUCCCUGCAAGUGUUCCUACUCUUUUUCGCGGGGUUCCGGAAGCGCUACUGCUCCCGCGUGCUCAGCGUGCUGCUGUGGCUUGCCUACCUGUUGGCGGACACCAUGGCACUCUUCGUCCUCGGGCACCUCACAUGUGUCGUGCGUGAUGACCCACGGCACCAGAUGGUGCUCUUCUGGGCACCGUUCAUGUUGCUCCACCUAGGAGGGCAGGAGACCAUCACAGCCUUCUCCAUGGAGGAUUGUGCACUGUGGAAGAGGCACCUGCUGAACCUCACCACCCAGGUUGCACUGGCCAUCUAUGUCGUCAGCAAGCAAUGGCAAGGGGACAAGCAGCUUGUGGCUCCCAUGGUGCUAAUCUUCAUCUCUGGGACAGCCAAAUAUAUGGAGAGAAUAUGGAUACUUGGGAGAGCCGGCUCAUGGGGACCUAUAAGCAGGCCUUGGGGUCCGUUGCUUGGGCAGAAAAGACUCCCGAGGGUCAGGCUUGGCGAACAACGUGCUAUCCAGCCAUUGUUCUCUUCUGACAAAAAAUCCGGGUUUCACAUAGAGGAUGUGGCUCAUGACAUAUUUUAUAGAAGCAUGGGCUUUUUCAUGAACAGGACUCCUAAACUGUAUGUCAAUGAUGAUUGGUGGCGGUGGGGACGAGGUACUGUGACUUCCUCAGAGGAGAGAGUUAACUUGGCAUAUAAGUUAGCUGAGAUCCAACUCUCAUUGAUCUAUGACUACUUGUACACCAAGUUUGGAAGCCUCGAUGGUGUGUUGCACCGGCUCACCAUCCUUGUCCUAAACUCUACAGCUCUGGCCCUGUUUGUUGUUCAUCAUAAGGGAGGGAAGAGGCGAUCAGAAGCUGUCAAGUCCAACUCUGGUGUAGCUGAUGUUGCCAUCUCUUACAUAUUGCUUGUGGGUGCCGUGGCGUUGGAGAUAUCCUCUAUACUGAUCUGGCUCAUAACAUCAUAUUGGCCAUACAAGGUAUUCCCAAGAGGAGACCAUAGUCCAAGAAUUGUGGUUAGCAUCCUCAAGCGCCUCCGCCCAGCACAGGGAAGCAACAGAUUGGAAUGGUCAGGUAAGCUGCAGCAGUACAACUUGACCGAUGAAAUCAUCCAAGAGGAGAAGGCGAGAAAGGAAUAUGGAUGGUUGAAAUGGAUAAUGUGGCAUAUGGGCAUCAAGCAACAAGACGACGCCACAACCAAACAUGUUGCCAUCUCCCCAGAGGUAAAGAAGGUGUUCCUUGAUAAACUACGUGAGAAUUACGGGAGGUUGAACUUGGCCAGCUUCCGUGCCGAGUGGGCAACUUCUUCCUCCUCUAGGUUUGGUGCAGCUCAACAGGAAGUCAGAGGCAUCUUGGAAGGCAUGGAUCUUGUAUCAAGUGCCUUUCUUUGGCACUUUGUGACGGACAUAUGCCUACUGCGGGACGAGACGCCCUCUAAGCUUAGAACCUGCAGCCAGCACCUGUCCAAUUACAUCAUGCACCUGGUCUACAAGUGCGACUUGAUGGUUGAUGCUGAGGGGUGUUCAUUAUUUGAAGACUAUAUACGGUUGAUGGGAAAAUUUUGCAAAGAUGCCAACUAUGAUAAGAGGGACCUCCUCCUGAGAUACCGCAGUGACAGAUUCUCUCAUGAUCCAGUCCGUCCAGCAGUUGGGAAAGCUGCUAAGGUGGCCUUUCUACUUAACAGUGAAGCAGCGGCUGCUGAUCAGUGGGAGAUGAUCGCAAUGGUAUGGUUGGAAAUGCUCUGCUACAUCGCAAUGAACUGUGAUCACGGGUUCCACGCCAAGCAGCUGAGCGCUGGAGGGGAGUUCCUCACUCAUGCCAAGAUGAUCAUGUUUCAACUGGUUGUUCCCGAUGAGCAGCUAAUGAGGAUGUAA